CUUCGGGAGAAGGGGUGCUCUAUUAGGGUGCAAGCCCGAGAGAGCCGCAGUGAAUAGGCCCAGGCGACUGUUUAGCAAAAACACAGGUCUCUGCAAAACCGUAAGGUGACGUAUAGGGGCUGACGCCUGCCCGGUGCUGGAAGGUUAAGAGGAGUGCUUAGCUUCGGCGAAGGUACGAAUUGAAGCCCCAGUAAACGGCGGCCGUAACUAUAACGGUCCUAAGGUAGCGAAAUUCCUUGUCGGGUAAGUUCCGACCCGCACGAAAGGCGCAACGAUCUGGGCACUGUCUCAACGAGAGACUCGGUGAAAUUAUAGUACCUGUGAAGAUGCAGGUUACCCGCGACAGGACGGAAAGACCCCGUGGAGCUUUACUGCAACCUGAUAUGGAAUGUUUGUACCGCUUGUACAGGAUAGGUAGGAGCCGAAGAGACGUGUGCGCUAGCAUACGAGGAGGCAAUGGUGGGAUACUACCCUGGCUGUAUGACCAUUCUAACCCGCCACGCUUAGCGCGUGGGGAGACAGUGUCAGGUGGGCAGUUUGACUGGGGCGGUCGCCUCCUAAAGAGUAACGGAGGCGCCCAAAGGUUCCCUCAGAAUGGAUGGAAAUCAUUCGCAGAGUGUAAAGGCACAAGGGAGCUUGACUGCGAGACUGACAAGUCGAGCAGGGACGAAAGUCGGGCUUAGUGAUCCGGUGGUUCCGCAUGGAAGGGCCAUCGCUCAACGGAUAAAAGCUACCCCAGGGAU
Molecule: ribosomal RNA, 743 nt
Filed under: Listeria monocytogenes
Lineage: Bacteria; Bacillati; Bacillota; Bacilli; Caryophanales; Listeriaceae
Description: bacterial LSU rRNA
Rfam family: Bacterial large subunit ribosomal RNA
Source: RNAcentral